RNAcentral lists this ribosomal RNA (460 nucleotides) under uncultured bacterium. RNAcentral's name for it is "partial 16S ribosomal RNA". It matches the Rfam family "Bacterial small subunit ribosomal RNA", at positions 28 to 505 of the family's 1533-position model. The record is from RNAcentral.
GAUGAACGCUGACAGAAUGCUUAACACAUGCAAGUCUUUGGCGAAGCUGUGCUUGCACAGCCUAGCCAAGGCGGACGGGUGAGUAACGCGUAAGGAACUUGCCCUGCAGUCAGGGAUAACAGACGGAAACGACUGAUAAGACCUGGUAAAGUCAGGCGGACUCAUGUCCAGCCUGAUGAAAAGAGAUGCUGCAGGAGAGCCUUGCGUCCUAUUAGCUUGUUGGUGGGGUAACGGCCCACCAAGGCGAUGAUAGGUAGCCGGCCUGAGAGGGUGGACGGCCACAAGGGGACUGAGAUACGGCCCUUACUCCUACGGGAGGCAGCAGUGGGGAAUAUUGGACAAUGGGGGCAACCCUGAUCCAGCAAUUCUGUGUGCACGAUGAAGGUUUUCGGAUUGUAAAGUGCUUUCAGCAGGGAAGAAAAAAUGACGGUACCUGCAGAAGAAGCGACGGCUAAAUACG